Molecule: ribosomal RNA, 449 nt
Filed under: uncultured bacterium
Lineage: Bacteria
Description: partial 16S ribosomal RNA
Rfam family: Bacterial small subunit ribosomal RNA
Source: RNAcentral
AACGAACGCUGGCGGCAUGCCUAACACAUGCAAGUCGAACGAGAUCUUCGGGUCUAGUGGCGCACGGGUGCGUAACGCGUGGGAAUCUGCCCUUUGGUUCGGAAUAACAGUUGGAAACGACUGCUAAUACCGGAUGAUGACGAAAGUCCAAAGAUUUAUCGCCAGAGGAUGAGCCCGCGUAGGAUUAGCUAGUUGGUUUGGUAAAGGCGCACCAAGGCGACGAUCCUUAGCUGGUCUGAGAGGAUGAUCAGCCACACUGGGACUGAGACACGGCCCAGACUCCUACGGGAGGCAGCAGUGGGGAAUAUUGGACAAUGGGCGAAAGCCUGACCCAGCAAUGCCGCGUGAGUGAUGAAGGCCUUAGGGUUGUAAAGCUCUUUUACCCGGGAUGAUAAUGACAGUACCGGGAGAAUAAGCUCCGGCUAACUCCGUGCCAGCAGCCGCGGUAA